This 248-nucleotide ribosomal RNA is filed under the name uncultured bacterium. RNAcentral describes it as "partial 16S ribosomal RNA". It matches the Rfam family "Bacterial small subunit ribosomal RNA", at positions 87 to 334 of the family's 1533-position model. The record is from RNAcentral.
CCCGGCGACCGGCGCACGGGUGAGUAACGCGUAUGCAACUUACCUAUCAGAGGGGGAUAACCCGGCGAAAGUCGGACUAAUACCGCGUGAAGCAGGGGCCCCGCAUGGGGAUAUUUGCUAAAGAUUCAUCGCUGAUAGAUAGGCAUGCGUUCCAUUAGGCAGUUGGCGGGGUAACGGCCCACCAAACCGACGAUGGAUAGGGGUUCUGAGAGGAAGGUCCCCCACAUUGGUACUGAGACACGGACCAA